Molecule: ribosomal RNA, 579 nt
Filed under: Virgibacillus sp.
Lineage: Bacteria; Bacillati; Bacillota; Bacilli; Caryophanales; Bacillaceae
Description: bacterial SSU rRNA
Rfam family: Bacterial small subunit ribosomal RNA
Source: RNAcentral
CAGUAGGGAUCUUCCGCAAUGGACGAAAGUCUGACGGAGCAACGCCGCGUGAGUGAUGAAGGUUUUCGGAUCGUAAAACUCUGUUGUUAGGGAAGAACAAGUAUCGUUCGAAUAGGGCGGUACCUUGACGGUACCUAACCAGAAAGCCCCGGCUAACUACGUGCCAGCAGCCGCGGUAAUACGUAGGGGGCAAGCGUUGUCCGGAAUUAUUGGGCGUAAAGCGCUCGCAGGCGGCCUUUUAAGUCUGAUGUGAAAGCCCACGGCUUAACCGUGGAGGGUCAUUGGAAACUGAAGGGCUUGAGUACAGAAGAGGAGAGUGGAAUUCCACGUGUAGCGGUGAAAUGCGUAGAGAUGUGGAGGAACACCAGUGGCGAAGGCGACUCUCUGGUCUGUAACUGACGCUGAGGAGCGAAAGCGUGGGGAGCAAACAGGAUUAGAUACCCUGGUAGUCCACGCCGUAAACGAUGAGUGCUAGGUGUUAAGGGGUUUCCGCCCCUUAGUGCUGAAGUUAACGCAUUAAGCACUCCGCCUGGGGAGUACGGCCGCAAGGCUGAAACUCAAAAGAAUUGACGGGCCUGC